This 71-nucleotide transfer RNA is filed under the name Marmota monax (woodchuck). Its description in RNAcentral is "tRNA.Leu". The stretch from base 7 to 67 matches the Rfam family "tRNA", at positions 6 to 65 of the family's 71-position model. Rfam says of the family: Transfer RNA (tRNA) molecules are approximately 80 nucleotides in length. Their secondary structure includes four short double-helical elements and three loops (D, anti-codon, and T loops). The record is from RNAcentral. Lineage: Eukaryota; Metazoa; Chordata; Mammalia; Rodentia; Sciuridae.
UGGGGAUAUAGCUCAUUUGGUAGAGCACUUGCUUCAAAUGCACAAGGUCCUGGGUCAAUCCCCAGUACUAA